GCGUGACGCCACAUUCUCCCGCCAGCUGGCGGCGAAAUUUUGAUUUUUGUGUGAAUGAAUCAAAGUCGGACAGGGCGGCUGGGGCUUUCUCCCUUCGAUCUCGUGGCUCUAAUUCUCUCUCUCACUUGGAUUUGUCAAUUCGAUUCCUGGCAAGGGCUGCUCCAGCGGCCGCGUGAUUGCAACGCGUUUACAACGAGCUCCAUGAGUCACGCGAGAUCUAAGCUGCCCUGGUGAUUGAUUAGGGUAUCAUAGGCCGCUAUGGCCGGACAAGGUGAGUUCCAGGAGCUGGUGGAGACUCUCAUUGGGCUGCUCAACGAGAUAUCAUCCCUGGGGGACUACGCCAGAUCGCACCGCAAGGAAUGCACCAAUCUCGCCCGCCGACUCAAGCUCUUGGCCCCGCUGCUGGAGGAGGCGAGGGAGGCCAGCUCGCUUGAUUCCCUUCGCCCCUUCCACGACCUCAAGCUCGUUCUCCACUCGGCCAAGGACCUCCUCUCUCUCUGCCACAAGGGAAGCAAAAUUUUCCUGAUCAUGAAAAGAGAAGGAAUUGCCAGCAGCUUCCAAUCCGUGACCGCGGAUUUGGAGCAUGUGCUAGAUUCCCUGCCAUACAAUUCACUGAAUCUCUCGGAAGAGGUCCGAGAACAGGUGGAGCUGCUCCAUGCGCAGCUCAAGAGGGCCAAAGGCAAAGCAGAAGUUAUCGACACGGAGCUGAUCGAGGACUUGAUGCGAUGCAGCACGAGUGACGAACGAGACUAUGAUAGAAUGGCAGCGGAGAGACUAGCCGACAAGCUACACCUCAAAACCUGGUCCGAGAUAAAGGAGGAGGAGUUUCGUGCGCAGGAGAGCCUGAAGCUGGACAAAGGUGGUGACCUUGACGCUGCAAUCAAGAUGGUGCUGGGAAGGCUCAAGGGCAUUGCCAUCUCGGACGCGGACGAACCUUAUGUUUCAAUCGACAAAGCACGAGUUGACUUCGCUAUGAGAAAUCCCUUGUCACCGUCACCGCGAUCAGACAAGCUGAGCAACCCAGCCAUUCCAGAGGAUUUCCGGUGCCCAAUCUCGCUGGAACUGAUGAAAGACCCCGUCAUCGUUGCAACUGGCCAGACUUACGAGCGCUCCUACAUCCAAAAGUGGCUAGAUGCCGGCCACAAGACAUGCCCGAUAACGCAGCAGACGCUCCCGCAUCUGGUGCUGACUCCAAACUAUGUUCUCCGGAGUCUCAUCUGUCAGUGGUGCGAAACCAACGGGAUCGAACUGCCAAAGAAAGUUGGCACGAGUCGGGGUGGUCACUCGUCCGACUUGGAAGCAUGUGGAGACAGGGUGGCCGUAGAGGCGCUACUGCAGAAGCUUUCCAGCCCCCAAGUGGAUGUGCAAAGGAUAGCUGUGGCGGACCUCAGGCUGCUGGCAAAGAGAAGCAUCGACAACAGGAUUUGCAUUGCAGAAGCUGGAGGUGUUCCGCUGCUGAUUGGACUCUUGUCAUCGACGGACACGCGGAUACAAGAGCAUGCAGUUACCGCUCUGCUCAAUCUCUCCAUCCACGACCCCAACAAGGCUCAGAUCGUCCAGGCAGGUGCUAUAAAUCCGAUUGUCGAGGUUCUCAAGUCAGGCAGCAUGGAGGCAAGAGAGAAUGCCGCUGCUACGCUCUUCAGCCUCUCGGUUGUGGACGAUAACAAGGUGACGAUUGGCCAGACGGCUGCGAUUCCAGCUCUAGUGAACUUGCUCAGAGAAGGCACUCCCCGAGGCAAAAAGGACGCAGCCACUGCCCUUUUCAACUUGUCCAUAUACCAAGGCAACAAGGCCAAGGCAGUGAGAGCUGGCGUGGUUCCGCCGCUGAUGGAGCUGCUGGAUCCAAACGCAGGCAUGGUGGAUGAAGCUUUGGCUAUUCUGGCAAUACUCGCAACGCACCAGGAGGGGCGCGUUGCAAUCGGCCAGGAGUCAACCAUCCCACUUUUGGUGGAGCUCAUACGUUCCGGCUCGGCCAGGAACAAGGAGAAUGCAGCUGCUGUUCUCCUUGCUCUGGGCCAGAACGACGCAGCUCAUCUUGUCACAGCGCAACAGUACGACGCCGGGGUGCCUUUGGCGGAGCUCGUGCAAAACGGCACCAGCAGGGCCAGGCGCAAAGCGAGCUUGAUCCUGGAGCUGAUGCACAAGCAACAGCAAGAACAGUUAAACAAGCAACAAUAACAACGUAAGACGAAGAAGAGAAGCAGGCAGGACCAAACAACUCAAUGUCGUCAACACUUUCUCUACAUGCUUGCACACAUGGAGGGUGGUGCUCUGUGCUCAAAGUUGCCCAGGAAGGUCCACCAUCAAUCAACAACACACGCAGAGCUUGGCGGUUUGUUCAUUCACAGUGCUGCUGCGGCUCGGCUCAGAGACAAGAUUCAACGAACGCGAGCUUGGUUUGGAUGGAAUGUUGCUGAGACAUGCGGAGCUCUCGGCUCCUCUUGUUCCAACACAGCCGUGAUGACCAUGCAUUUAGAGGACGCGGACACCUAAUGAUUGAAGAGGAACUGCCCUUUUAAGUGAUUCACUUUGGCUUCGCUCUUUCACACAUGAAGAGGCACAGAUACUCCCGACUUCGUUAACAUCAGGAGCAGCAGAAAGUCCACAAUCAAGAUAAAUACUUGUAAUCCGUUCCGGAAAACUGCAAUGUACGACGAAUACGGAGUUACCGUCUUUGUUUGGGACUCCCCAAGCUCCGUUUCUUCGCACUGUGUUGGAACGGAACUAGAGUUCCGUGGUGCUCGUUUGCUCACGGUGUUUGGGGGACUUGCAACCAAGUCCGCAUUUGGCAGCAAUGCUUCUGGGAUGUCGUAUCCCAAGUAAGCUGUCGAUAUGGGUCUGGCACAUGCAAAUGCCCUCGUCAACCUCACUUGGAUACUUACAGCAGCAAAUAACCUUGGGUGGCAAUUGUGUGCCUGUGCUUUCUCCUAGAGAAGCUGCUCCAAAACUAGCGAGAUUCUGCUUC
Molecule: RNA transcript, 2965 nt
Organism: Selaginella moellendorffii
Lineage: Eukaryota; Viridiplantae; Streptophyta; Lycopodiopsida; Selaginellales; Selaginellaceae
Gene name: U-box domain-containing protein 13
Exons: 5
Source: RefSeq, a predicted model, not a curated record